AAUCCCAGGAGGGAACAGGAAGUGGCUUGAGAAAAUAAACCCGGCUCUCUGGUCCUGUGGAUAGCGCCUCCCCACGCCAGGAAGUGGCAAGCUGGCUUGGCAGAAACACGUCUUAGUGGACACCAUUUUCCCUAGAAUCCCAACGGGGCAAAACUGCAGUCCUGACUGGAUUCAACGAAGAACGUAGAAGAACCUUAUCUGAGUUGGCAGCAUAUGGCCUAGAGUGAAGCAGCCAAGAUGGUGCUCAGGAGACCACGUUGACCUUGGAAGGACCUCGGCACGAAAGGUGCUGUGGCCCAGAUGAUGCAUCCAAUGAACCAUCACAGCCUGGCCCACGAUGCACAGUGAGUAAGAGGAAACUAGUUUACAAGUGGGACAUAGGUUGAGGGGAGUAAAAUGCCUCAGUCAAAGGAAGAGCUAUGAAGUUCUCUGAUUUACCUUUCUGCCUGUCUCUCCCGCCAGAAAGCAGGCUUCACAAGGAAUGAAGUUUUUAUCUAU
Camelus dromedarius (Arabian camel) is the source of this 498-nucleotide long non-coding RNA. RefSeq lists it as uncharacterized. The transcript has 3 exons. NCBI's taxonomy places the organism in Eukaryota, Metazoa, Chordata, Mammalia, Artiodactyla, Camelidae. The record is from RefSeq and is a predicted model, not a curated record.